UUACGACCAUAAAGUGUUGAAGCACUGGUUACUGUAUGAUUACCGAAGUUAAGCAACACUGAGCCUGAUCAAUACCAAGAUGGGUGACCACUUGGGAAUACCAGUUGCUGUAAG
This is a non-coding RNA of Acanthosepion pharaonis, 114 nucleotides long. The record is from the annotation of a GenBank genome assembly. NCBI's taxonomy places the organism in Eukaryota, Metazoa, Mollusca, Cephalopoda, Sepiida, Sepiidae.